AUUGAACGCUGGCGGCAUGCUUUACACAUGCGAGUCGAACGGCAGCGCGGGCUUCGGCCUGGCGUCGCGUUGCGGACGGGUGGGUAAUUCAUCGGAACGUGCCCAGCAGUUGGGGCUAGCCCGGCGACAGCCGGAUUAAUACCGCAUACGACCAUAGGGUGAAAGCGGGGGACCGAAAGGCCUCGCGCGAUUUGAGGGGCCGAUGCCGGAUUAGCUAGUUGGUGGGGUAAAGGCUUACCAAGGCGACGAUCCGUAGCUGGGCUGAGAGGACGACCAGCCACACUGGGACUGAGACACGGCCCAGACUCCUACGGGAGGCAGCAGUGGGGAAUUUUGGACAAUGGGGGCAACCCUGACCCAGCAAUGCCGCGUGAGGGAAGAAGGUCUUCGGGUUGUAAAACGCUUUUGUUCGGGAAGAAAACCUGUGGGCUAAUCCCCCGGGGGGAUGACGGUACCGGAAGAAUAAGCACCGGCUAACUACGUG
Molecule: ribosomal RNA, 484 nt
Filed under: uncultured bacterium
Lineage: Bacteria
Description: partial 16S ribosomal RNA
Rfam family: Bacterial small subunit ribosomal RNA
Source: RNAcentral